GGACGAACGCUGGCGGGCGUGGAUUGGGCAUGCAAGUCGAACGGUAUCAUCCUUUCGGGGGUGAGAGAGUGGCGAACUGGUGAGUAACACGUAGGUUAUCUACCCUCAAGACGGGGACAACCCAGGGAAACUUGGGCUAAUACCGGAUGUGAGCAACUUUUAGUGUUUGAAAGGUGGCGUAAGCUGUCGCUUGGGGAUGAGCCUGCGUCCUAUUAGUUAGUUGGUGAGGUAACGGCUCACCUAGGCAAUGAUAGGUAGGCGGCCUUAACGGGUGGUCGCCCACACUGGGAUUGAGAUACGGCCCAGACUCCUACGGGAGGCAGCAGUCGAGAAUAGUCUACAAUGGUCGGAAGACUGAUAGUGCGACGCCGCGUGAACGAUGAAUCCCUUCGGGGUGUAAAGUUCUUUUAUAUGUGAGCAGUGCUUCUUAUAUUAACAGUAUGGGGAGAGAGAUAUUAGCAUAUGAAUAAGCAACGGCUAACUCCGUG
This 488-nucleotide ribosomal RNA is filed under the name uncultured bacterium. RNAcentral's name for it is "bacterial SSU rRNA". It matches the Rfam family "Bacterial small subunit ribosomal RNA", at positions 27 to 507 of the family's 1533-position model. The record is from RNAcentral.